CCACAUGAUGAGAAAAACCCGAUUAGCUCUAGAUCAAUAGUUGCUUAUGCAGCGAUGAACGAUUUAACAUGUAUUAUCUGAUGG
Molecule: small nucleolar RNA, 84 nt
Filed under: Microsporum canis CBS 113480
Lineage: Eukaryota; Fungi; Ascomycota; Eurotiomycetes; Onygenales; Arthrodermataceae
Description: Arthroderma otae CBS 113480 A. fimigatus snoRNA Afu_199
Rfam family: A. fimigatus snoRNA Afu_199
Source: Rfam by way of RNAcentral